This 1471-nucleotide long non-coding RNA is filed under the name Nicotiana tabacum (common tobacco). RNAcentral describes it as "long non-coding RNA (NTAB_LNC014791)". Lineage: Eukaryota; Viridiplantae; Streptophyta; Magnoliopsida; Solanales; Solanaceae. The record is from RNAcentral.
UGGGCCGCGACGGGCACCCGGUACCUUACUCAACCGAGUACCAACGUAACGUAUCUUUCUUAUUACAUCAUUAUAUACACGUGACAUACGGGCCUAGUAGGCCAACAUAAUUAUUUAUAAACUCAAACAUAGGCCGACAAGGUCGUACAAUCUUUCACGUAUACGACAUAUAUCUACAAGCCUCUAAGAAUACAUAAAUGUCAUAGAGGUCGGGAUAGAGUCCCGCCAUACCAAAUAAUACACGUCUAAAUCAUACUAACCAAACAAGCAACUCCGAAGCAAAUGGAGCGCACCAACAUCUUCCGUCGAGCUGAUAGCCUACUUGGAGGGCUCUCGACCUGUCUAUCGGAACCUGCGGGCAUGAAACGCAGCGUCCCCAGGCAAAAGGGACGUCAGUAUGAAUAAUGUACCGAGUAUGUAAGGCACAUAAAUAAAUACAUAAGAGACAUAGAAGAUAUAUAGAGUACAUGACUCAACCUGUAAGUCUGAAUAACUUUGUAAAUUAUAAAUUACUUUUAACAUCAUGCAUAUGCGUAUGAAUGUCAUGUAUUGCAUAGGUACAUGUUUCAUAACAUUAUCAGUCUCUGAGGGCAUCCCAUCAUAUUAUAUCGGCCAUUGUAGACAAAAUCAUCAUCGUAUACUAGCUGAUCAGGUGGUGGUGCAUAUAUAACGCCAUAACCUUUCCCAUAUCCCAUAUACAUAUAUAUACGUGUAUAUAACGCCGUUUGAAUACAUACAUAUAUAUAUGCGUAUAUAACGCCAUUUGAAUCAUAUUUCAGCCACUGUGGGCAACAUCAUCAUCAUAUACUAGCUGAUCAGGUGGUGGUGCGUAUAUAACGCCGUAACCUUUUUCCAUAUCCCAUAUACAUAUAUUUACAUAUAUAUGCGUAUAUAACGUCAUCUGGUCAUGGGUCAAUGCAUAUGAAUGCAGUACAUAAAAAGUACGUCAAAAAAAUCAUUCGGAAUGUCAUAAGACCAUUUUGCCUCUGAGUAAUAUUAUAAAGUAAACUCUUUUAAACUUUUGUAUUUUUCUGAGACCCAUGAACCGAUGAUAAGAUAUUAUAACACACGGAAAUUAAAGAACAUAGAUAUCUCUAAUACUUCUAUGAAUAGAGUCAUUCAUGGAAUUUGUGCAUUUGCACGUUCCGUUCGUAUCAUAUGGAUCAUGCCAAAAGAAAGAAGGGAUAGCCUUAACAUACCUGGAGUAGGAGAAACUCCAUAUAAUAUUUCGUUGGAAGACCUUCGUUGUUUGAACGAAAUUUGCCUUUGCUCCUUGAAAAUUCACGGACGAAAAUAUUUUCUGGUUCCUAAAACUUUGGAACGAAUGAUCAUUGAAUUCUUUUGAUUUUGGAGAAAAACAUUUCUGGUUCUUCUUAGUUUUGAAAGAAUGACAUUGAAUUCAUUUUGAUUUUUUUGGAGGAAAAUGUUUUUCUUUGGUUGCUUGAGAAUUUGAGAUGGAACGUUUCUGUUC